This 1200-nucleotide small RNA is filed under the name Histoplasma capsulatum. RNAcentral's name for it is "hypothetical RNA". The record is from RNAcentral. RNAcentral also lists the same sequence under 1 other name. Lineage: Eukaryota; Fungi; Ascomycota; Eurotiomycetes; Onygenales; Ajellomycetaceae.
AUGGCAGUGUGUUGAUCCACGGUAGGUUGGCAAUUUCUGCUGACCUUGGAAUGCUUCGGGGUUGACGUGCUAGAUUUAGUGCUACGGACAGCUCUUUUUCAUUAGCAUUUGAGUUCCUUUUGCCAUGGGUUUCUCUCAAAUGGCUACCACUUUCCCCUUUGCUUCCUUUUCUUUCUCUAGGUUAUCCACCGAUAUAUAUAGAUAUAUAACUCAUUCAUUCAUCAUCUACUUUCUAUGUCAACGUUAUCAUCAUUCGGUCCAAAAGGAGAAAAAAAGGAAGAAACCGAAGAGAAGAGAAAAUGAAUGAAAGCAAGAAAACGAUGUAAACCACAGCCACAGAAACCCAAACCAAAAUAUAUAUUCCAUUCGUCUGUUCGUAUGUCGGCCGUGUACUCUAAAAGGUUCUUAGUGGUCAAGAGAGAUGGGGGGAAAAAGGAAAGAAAUUCGCGAACACCAAAAAAAUAUGACAGAGUACGAUUGACAGGUUAAAAAAAAUGAAGGUCACCUAGACAAACAAUCCUAUCACAAAAAUGUCUUUUUUACCUUUGUUUUCUAAGGCAAUGCAAGUUCAUCAUCAUCAUCGUCAACGUCGUCAUCAUUCCAUCCCAACUGGUCAUAUAUAGACUUCUCUGGCGUGGCGUCUGCUGUAACAAUAUCAGUAUUGGCCAUGGGAUGGGUGCUGUGGUCGUCUCCAGGUGUAAACCCAGCAGCAGCAGCAACUGUGUUCUUUAUGGGUGUCGUGAAAAUUAUGGCACCUUGGUUGCGUUUUACUUGGAUCUCAUUAUGGCGGGAGAGAGAUGGAGAUAUAAUAGUUUCUGGGGGCUGGAGGUAGGAGGGAAAUCCUGCGCGGGGCGGCGUUUCUUGGAUCGAGGAAGUUACGUUAUUGAUAUGUAUAAAGGGAAGGUGAUUAUUAAUUUUAUUAUUACUGUUGGUUCCGUCGUUGGUGUUACCGCAGUGGGCAAAGUUGGGAUGUGAUCUCGUUUUCCGCAAUGUACUCGGCGACAUUUCUUGUUGCUGCAUGAAUGCCCUACUCGUUUCCGGAAGCUUGGGGACUUUGAAGACUUUGAAUAAAUUGCCGGUUUGCCUGGGGAGCGGUGUCGAAUCGAAGUCAUUAUCAGUCAAUAUCCCGCUGUUCGACGGGCCCGAUGAGAGUCGUGUAGAUGAUCUUGUGGGCGUCUCGUGAAUAGAGCUGUGACGGGC